AAAAAAAACAAAUUCAAAUAUGAUUCAUGAUUUAAAUAAUUUUUUUUUUGUAAUAUAUCAGAGAUAAAGUAUAUACCUUUCCUAAAUGUUAUUGACUAGUAAAUUAGAAACUGUACAGUUACCUCAACUUAUCCCUAUGUUAAAUAUGUCUACUACUGUACUGCAGGAUCUGUACUCUGAGGGGUACAAUAAAAGUUGCAACAGUCCUACAGUUAAGCUCUGAUUGGCUAACAGCUUAGCCUGUCUCCAAAGCAACAGUGUAUCUCAGGACAAAGACAUCUUCAUCUUCAGUGUGCUUUGUCUCAGAGAAAACAAGAUUAAGUUUAUGCAUUAAAUGCCCUUGAACUUUGGCAGCCAGAAAAAACUGUAUUGAACCCUAACAUGACUGUUGUCAUUUAUACGUUUUUGUGUCCUAAAGAUACACAAAGUUAUGCAUUAACCUAAGUUAAAUGUUUUUAAAGUGACCGUUUUAGAGACACCUUUGAAGACUGAGAAUGAGAGAGAUAUCCAAAAUCAAUACUGCAAUUUGACCUGUGGCGCACGACCCUGUUUAUUCAGGAUAUCAAAGGCAAUUCAUCUGACAUGGGACCUGAUCACAAGAAUGCAAAAGUUGAGCAAUCUUUCAACAACCAAUCAGAGCUCUGUUACCACCAGCAACAGCCCAUACACCAACAAGGCAAUGGAUCCAGGUUUCUGAUUGGUCAAAACUCCAUGAGCACUCAGCUGGCAGCUCCUCCCUUGACUCUCUCUCAUCCACACAGAUUAAGCAACAUCAUCAAAACAAGGAGAGCUUAGCUUUGUUUUCCUGCAGUAGCAUGGCUCCACUCAACAACAGUGGGCUGUGUUUUGCUAUUUGGUGGUAAGAGAGUCUUGUGAAGGCAAGAGGAAAGUAAUAGGGCGAAUCCUUGUUGCCAGGGUUACAGAGUUCUUUGAGGAAGCAGGAAUGAUGAGAUCGGGUGAAAUAUAAUAUGUGCUACUGAAAGCAGGGUGUUGCAUCAGAUACAUUAUGAUUCAAAUGUACAGAAAAAAAAGUAUCUGAUUGGUAGUGCAUAUUAAACUAAAUUUCUUCCUGUGCAUGUGAUGGUGCAGUAUCAAAUAAAUAUACUUAAUGAUUCAUGCUUAAUGUUUACUUUGUUCAGAGACCAAAGAAACUUGAAAACUGUUAGAACUUUGAACUUUCAUGUAAGUAGAACAUAGUAUUGUGUGUGUUGAAUAGGAUUUGUGAAUUAAUUGUUAUUGGUUUGUUAUAUUUUGUUAUUUUUAAUUCAUUGCAUUUUAGUAAAUGUCAAUUUUGUAAACAUUAUUUCUAUUAUUUAAAUGAAUUUUUAUUUACUUAGCAUUAUUUUUAUUUUUUUUACUUUUUUUUGGGGACAGCGG
Cyprinus carpio carpio is the source of this 1377-nucleotide long non-coding RNA. NCBI's taxonomy places the organism in Eukaryota, Metazoa, Chordata, Actinopteri, Cypriniformes, Cyprinidae. The record is from Ensembl.